RNAcentral lists this ribosomal RNA (881 nucleotides) under Lactiplantibacillus plantarum. Its description in RNAcentral is "bacterial SSU rRNA". It matches the Rfam family "Bacterial small subunit ribosomal RNA", at positions 24 to 871 of the family's 1533-position model. Lineage: Bacteria; Bacillati; Bacillota; Bacilli; Lactobacillales; Lactobacillaceae. The record is from RNAcentral.
UCAGGACGAACGCUGGCGGCGUGCCUAAUACAUGCAAGUCGAACGAACUCUGGUAUUGAUUGGUGCUUGCAUCAUGAUUUACAUUUGAGUGAGUGGCGAACUGGUGAGUAACACGUGGGAAACCUGCCCAGAAGCGGGGGAUAACACCUGGAAACAGAUGCUAAUACCGCAUAACAACUUGGACCGCAUGGUCCGAGUUUGAAAGAUGGCUUCGGCUAUCACUUUUGGAUGGUCCCGCGGCGUAUUAGCUAGAUGGUGGGGUAACGGCUCACCAUGGCAAUGAUACGUAGCCGACCUGAGAGGGUAAUCGGCCACAUUGGGACUGAGACACGGCCCAAACUCCUACGGGAGGCAGCAGUAGGGAAUCUUCCACAAUGGACGAAAGUCUGAUGGAGCAACGCCGCGUGAGUGAAGAAGGGUUUCGGCUCGUAAAACUCUGUUGUUAAAGAAGAACAUAUCUGAGAGUAACUGUUCAGGUAUUGACGGUAUUUAACCAGAAAGCCACGGCUAACUACGUGCCAGCAGCCGCGGUAAUACGUAGGUGGCAAGCGUUGUCCGGAUUUAUUGGGCGUAAAGCGAGCGCAGGCGGUUUUUUAAGUCUGAUGUGAAAGCCUUCGGCUCAACCGAAGAAGUGCAUCGGAAACUGGGAAACUUGAGUGCAGAAGAGGACAGUGGAACUCCAUGUGUAGCGGUGAAAUGCGUAGAUAUAUGGAAGAACACCAGUGGCGAAGGCGGCUGUCUGGUCUGUAACUGACGCUGAGGCUCGAAAGUAUGGGUAGCAAACAGGAUUAGAUACCCUGGUAGUCCAUACCGUAAACGAUGAAUGCUAAGUGUUGGAGGGUUUCCGCCCUUCAGUGCUGCAGCUAACGCAUAAGCAUCCG